RNAcentral lists this long non-coding RNA (5267 nucleotides) under Nicotiana benthamiana. RNAcentral describes it as "long non-coding RNA (NBEN_LNC012790)". Lineage: Eukaryota; Viridiplantae; Streptophyta; Magnoliopsida; Solanales; Solanaceae. The record is from RNAcentral.
UUGAAUCAGAGGCAAAUCAUCCCCAAAUGGCGGGUGCGAAAGGGUCGUCAUGUGCUAUCCCAGGAUGUGAUGCAAAAGUGAUGAGUGAUGAAAGGGGCAUUGAUAUCGUUCCUUGUGAAUGUGAUUUCAAGAUAUGCAGAGACUGCUACCUGGAUGCUGUCAAAACCGGUGAUGGUAUAUGUCCGGGGUGUAAGGAGCAAUAUAAAGUCACUGAUUGGGAUGAAGCGAAUGGAAAUGAUCGGCCGCUUCCUCUGCCCGCGCCAGCUGGGAUGUCAAAGAUGGAGAGAAGAUUGUCAAUUAUGAAAUCAACUAAGUCGGCAUUGAUUAGGAGCCAUACUGCAGAUUUUGAUCACAACCGUUGGCUGUUUGAAACAAGGGGCACAUAUGGGUAUGGAAAUGCUAUAUGGCCAAAAGAAGGUGGAUUUUCAAAUGGAAAAGAUGAUGAUAUUGUUGAGUCGACUGAACUGAGGAACAAACCAUGGAGGCCACUUACGCGCAAAUUGAAAAUUCCUGCUGCAAUCCUAAGUCCUUACAGGUAAGAAGUUAUAUCCGCUUUUACUCUUCAGAGUCCUCUGCGUUGUUUUAGGAUUGAUACUAAUAGCUGUACGCUCUACUUAAUCACCCUUGUUGGGGGGUCUGAAGAAUAACUAGCUGCUUGGUUGCACUUGUGCUUUUGCUUCAUUUGUCCCUGACCCAUAGUUUUUCCAUUGAUUUCAGCUACCUUUUAAUCGAUCGAUUAAUUUCUAAGUUCUCCACAAAAUUUUAAAUACAUGCAUUUUUCUCAUAUUACUACCGGUUGUUUCUUUUGCUUCGGUUAUCUUAUUAUCUUGAUUGUUAUUGCAUCUUUUCCAUGGCUUCUCCAUUACUGUAUUUCUUUUCAACAAUUAUGUGACUAUACCUUUCCUUAGCUGAGGGUCUAUCGGAAACAAUCUCUCUACCUUUAUAAGGUAGGGGUAAGGUCUGCGUACACGCUAUCCUCCCCAGACACACUUGUAAGAUUACACCGAGUUUGUUGUUGUUGCAUUUUUCUCCUAACACAUGCUAUGUGUAUUUCACAACUGGGUUAGUCUUGAAUGACACAUAGCUGGUGUAUCUGCAGAUCUUUUCCUUUAUUCGGUUGAACCAUUCACGGGUGCAGAUAUCGAAUGUUAUAUCUUUUAAUGAACUUUUACUACUUUCCAAGGAAAAAGAUCACUGCUAUCUUUAUAGUAUUGUAGUUGUUAUAAGAUAUAAAAAGUAAAGAAAAAUCUGAAUGUGUUUCUUAUUCUCCUGACCUGAAUACUGCUAUCACUAUAGUUCUAGUGUUUAAUGUGAAAUGCCUUCUCUUUGAUGAUCCAAAGGACCGUUGUCAAUGAACUGGAUGGAAAGAAAAAGUGGUUCAUUGCUUUGUCUAGCGUUUAUCUCAUGCAGUGACAAUCUACUGGUUCCAGAUAUUUUGAGCUGAUAUAUACUUUCUUUUCCUAUGUUUCUUCUGUUCAGACUUUUGAUUGCUGUUCGGUUUGUUGUACUUGGGCUUUUCUUAACAUGGAGAGUGCAACAUCCCAACAAUGAUGCAAUUUGGUUGUGGGGGAUGUCCGUGGUUUGUGAAAUAUGGUUUGCUUUCUCAUGGAUUCUUGACCAAUUGCCCAAACUUUGCCCUAUCAACCGUGCGACUGAUCUUGGUGUCUUAAAAGACAAAUUUGAAUCACCUAGCCCAAACAAUCCUACUGGGAGGCUUUGCCCUGUCAACCGUGCGACUGAUCUUGGUGUCUUGAAAGACAAAUUUGAAUCACCUAGCCCAAACAAUCCUACUGGGAGAUCUGAUCUCCCUGGCGUUGAUAUGUUUGUCUCUACCGCUGAUCCAGAGAAGGAACCUCCUCUUGUGACUGCAAAUACUAUAUUGUCCAUUCUAGCUGCAGAUUAUCCUGUGGAAAAGCUUGCUUGCUAUGUUUCUGAUGAUGGAGGGGCUCUUUUGACUUUCGAGGCAAUGGCAGAAGCUGCAAGUUUUGCUAAUUUAUGGGUACCAUUUUGUCGCAAACAUAACAUCGAACCUAGAAAUCCAGACAGUUACUUCAGUUUAAAGAAGGAUCCGUACAAAAACAAGGUAAAGCAAGACUUUGUUAAGGAUCGUAGGCGGGCAAAGCGUGAGUAUGAUGAGUUUAAGGUCCGUAUCAAUGGGUUGCCAGAGUCCAUUCGCCGUAGGUCUGACGCUUAUCAUGCAAGGGAAGAAAUUAAGGCCAUGAAGCAACAGAGGCAGAAGACUGAGGAUGAACCUGUUGAGAAUGUAAAGAUCCCAAAAGCUACGUGGGUUGCCAGAGUCCAUUCGUCGUAGGUCUGACGCUUAUCAUGCAAGGGAAGAAAUUAAGGCCAUGAAGCAACAGAGGCAGAAGACUGAGGAUGAACCAGUAGAGAAUGUAAAGAUCCCAAAAGCUACGUGGAUGGCAGAUGGAACCCAUUGGCCUGGGACAUGGUUGAAUUCUGGACCUGAGCAUUCCAAGGGUGAUCAUGCUGGAAUAAUACAGGUAAUAUUCUCUUAACUGUCUACUCUAAAUUCUUUGUUACAGGUAAUAUUCUCUUAACUGUCUACUCUAAAUUCUUUGGAUUCCACUUACAAUCACGUUUACAAAUCUCUUAACUGUCUACUCUAAAUUCUUUGGAAUUCCACCUAUAAUCACGUUUACAAAUUGAUAGGUUUAUGUAAGCUAUUAAUAUGACCAUGUUUUUAAAUAUGCAGGUGAUGUUGAAACCUCCAAGUGAUGAUCCACUGCAUGGUAACAGUGAGGAUGGGGUUAUGGACCUUACUGAUGUUGAUAUCCGUCUUCCCAUGCUUGUUUAUGUUUCUCGUGAAAAGCGCCCUGGCUAUGAUCACAACAAGAAAGCAGGCGCUAUGAAUGCCCUGGUUCGAGCAUCCGCAAUCAUGUCCAAUGGUGCAUUUAUUCUUAACCUUGAUUGUGACCAUUAUAUUUACAACUCCCAGGCUAUCAGGGAAGGUAUGUGUUUCAUGAUGGAUAGGGGAGGGGAUCGUCUUUGCUAUGUUCAGUUCCCACAGAGGUUUGAGGGCAUUGACCCGUCUGAUAGGUAUGCCAAUCGCAAUACUGUAUUUUUUGAUGGUAACAUGAGGGCCCUUGAUGGGCUACAGGGUCCAAUGUAUGUGGGAACUGGAUGUCUCUUUCGAAGGGUAGCACUUUAUGGUUUUGACCCUCCUUGCUCCAAGGAACACCAAUCCGGUUUCUGUAGCUGCUGCUUUGGUCGCAGAAGAAAGCAUAUUAAUGCACCAGAAGAGCAUCGGGCUUUACGAUUAGGUGAUUCGGACGAUGAAGAAAUAAACCUCUCACUGGCUCCUAAGGCUUUUGGGAACUCAGCAGUCCUUAUUGAUUCAAUCCCGGUGGUGGAGUUCCAAGGUCGUCCUUUGGCAGAUCAUCCAGCUGUGAAGAAUGGACGGCCGCCUGGUGCUUUGACCAUUCCUCGGGAGCAUCUUGACGCAUCAACUGUUGCAGAGGCCAUCAGUGUCAUCUCCUGCUGGUACGAGGAAAAGACAGAGUGGGGACAACGUGUCGGAUGGAUUUAUGGUUCAGUUACUGAAGAUGUCGUCACAGGAUACAGGAUGCACAACAGGGGUUGGAAAUCAGUUUAUUGUGUUACCAAACGCGAUGCAUUCCGAGGGACUGCCCCUAUUAAUCUCACUGAUAGGCUCCAUCAGGUCCUUCGAUGGGCUACUGGUUCUGUUGAAAUCUUUUUCUCCCGAAACAAUGCCCUACUGGCCAGCUCAAAAAUGAAAUUCUUACAGAAAAUUGCUUACCUCAAUUGUGGAAUCUACCCCUUCACAUCAAUCUUCUUAAUUGUCUACUGCUUCUUACCAGCACUCUCCCUGUUCUCCGGUCAGUUCAUUGUCCAAACACUCAAUGUCACCUUCCUUGUGUACCUCCUGACUAUUACAGUCACCCUCUGCAUGCUUGCGGUGCUCGAGGUCAAGUGGUCAGGCAUCGAGUUGGAGGAGAUGUGGAGGAACGAGCAGUUCUGGCUGAUUGGAGGGACAAGUGCUCACUUAGCUGCUGUGCUUCAGGGGCUCCUGAAAGUUGUUGCUGGCAUCGAAAUUUCUUUCACCUUGACGUCAAAAUCAGCUGGUGAUGACGAUGAUGAUGAAUUUGCUGAUCUCUAUAUGGUUAAGUGGACAUCCCUCAUGAUCCCGCCCAUUACAAUCAUGAUGGUAAACUUGAUAGCAAUAGCAGUUGGUUUUAGCAGGACAAUAUAUAGUGUUAUACCACAGUGGAGCCGUUUACUAGGGGGUGUAUUCUUCAGUUUUUGGGUUCUGGCACAUCUCUAUCCCUUCGCGAAAGGGCUUAUGGGCAGAAGAGGCAGGACACCAACCAUUGUCUUUGUAUGGUCAGGACUUAUUGCUAUCACCAUUUCCCUUCUUUGGGUGGCAAUUAAUCCUCCAGCAGGCACUACUCAAAUUGGAGGAUCAUUCCAGUUCCCUUGAUCAUCUUGCUUUCGGAAGUUUAAGCAGCGCUAAUAUCGUGGCAAAAAGUGCUGGUAUGUUUGAUCACUGCAUAUCAAUUGGAAUUAUAUAUUUUUCAUCUCACCAAUGAAAUUGGUGUCAUACAAGCUGCUCAACUAUUUUUAGCAUAGUGGAAGCAGAACUAAGCAAGUUUAGUUGAGUUGGACUUGGAUAGAGAACAUUCAGCAUUUUUUGUAUCAUCUUGGACCGGAAUUAUUCAUUUAAUUGUUUGGUUUACACUACCAUUGAUAGUUUAGGAAUUGCAAUAGAUAUUUUUGUCAUUCAAGUGUCCUCUUCACUUCUUUCUUCUGUUAAUCAUGGAAAUUUAAAUUUCUGGCAUAAGCUGACCGAGACUGGAGUAAAUUGACUAGAGUUCCAAAGUAUGAUUAAAAACCUUUUAAUUUUUCUUUAAAACUUGAGAUCUUUCUUCAUCCUUUUUUUCUUUUCUUUUGUGUUCUUCUUUAUUCCUGUUUGAGAACUUGAAUCAUGUGAUAUUGGUUAAUUCUCUUGUUAGUCACUGGCGGGUGCGAAAGGGUCGUCAUGUGCUAUCCCAGGAUGUGAUGCAAAAGUGAUGAGUGAUGAAAGGGGCAUUGAUAUCGUUCCUUGUGAAUGUGAUUUCAAGAUAUGCAGAGACUGCUACCUGGAUGCUGUCAAAACCGGUGAUGGUAUAUGUCCGGGGUGUAAGGAGCAAUAUAAAGUCACUGAUUGGGAUGAAGCGAAUGGAAAUGAUCGGCCGCUUCCUCUGCCCGCGCCAGCUGGGAUGUCAAAGAUGGAGAGAAGAUUGUCAAUU